CUACGGGCUGCUCCAGUGGGGAAUAUUGGACAAUGGGGGAAACCCUGAUCCAGCAAUUCCGCGUGGGUGAAGAAGGCCUUCGGGUUGUAAAGCCCUUUAGGCGGGGAAGAAGAUUUUAGGGUGAAUAGCCUUAGAAUUUGACGGUACCCGCAGAAUAAGCACCGGCUAACUCUGUGCCAGCAGCCGCGGUAAUACAGAGGGUGCAAGCGUUAAUCGGAUUUACUGGGCGUAAAGGGUGCGUAGGUGGUAAAGCAAGUAAGAUGUGAAAGCCCUGGGCUUAACCUAGGAAGUGCAUCUUAAACUGCUUAACUAGAGUAUGGUAGAGGGUAGUGGAAUUUCCGGUGUAGCGGUGAAAUGCGUAGAUAUCGGAAGGAACGCCAGUGGUGAAGACGACUACCUGGACCAAUACUGACACUGAGGCACGAAAGCGUGGGGAUCAAACAGGAUUAGAUACCCUCGUAGUC
This 464-nucleotide ribosomal RNA is filed under the name uncultured bacterium. Its description in RNAcentral is "partial 16S ribosomal RNA". It matches the Rfam family "Bacterial small subunit ribosomal RNA", at positions 339 to 795 of the family's 1533-position model. The record is from RNAcentral.